CAGAGGGUGCAAACGUUGUUCGGAAUUACUGGGCGUAAAGCGUGUGUAGGCGGCCAUGUAAGUCGGAUGUGAAAGCCCCAGGCUCAACCUGGGAGGUGCACUCGAUACUGCGUGGCUUGAGUAUCGGAGAGGUUGGUGGAAUUCUCGGUGUAGAGGUGAAAUUCGUAGAUAUCGAGAGGAACACCGGUGGCGAAGGCGGCCAACUGGACGAAUACUGACGCUGAGACACGAAAGCGUGGGGAGCAAACAGGAUUAGAUACCCUGGUAGUCCACGCCGUAAACGAUGGGUGCUAGGUGUCACGGGCUUUGACUCCUGUGGUGCCGUAGCAAACGCAUUAAGCACCCCGCCUGGGAAGUACGGCCGCAAGGCUA
RNAcentral lists this ribosomal RNA (372 nucleotides) under uncultured organism. RNAcentral's name for it is "bacterial SSU rRNA". It matches the Rfam family "Bacterial small subunit ribosomal RNA", at positions 526 to 896 of the family's 1533-position model. The record is from RNAcentral.